This 132-nucleotide small RNA is filed under the name Escherichia coli. RNAcentral describes it as "RtT sRNA". It matches the Rfam family "RtT RNA". Rfam says of the family: This family represents a bacterial cis-regulatory element known as RtT RNA. The exact function of RtT is unknown although it is thought that it may be involved in changing the cellular response in relation to amino acid starvation. Lineage: Bacteria; Pseudomonadati; Pseudomonadota; Gammaproteobacteria; Enterobacterales; Enterobacteriaceae. The record is from RNAcentral.
AUUCUGCCCAAGCGGGGAAGGAUGAGAAGCUUCGACCAAGGUUCGACUCGAGCGCCAGCGAGAGAGCGUGGCCGCAGGCAACGACCCGAAGGGCGAAGCGCGCAGCGCUGAGUAAUCCCCCCACCACCAUCA